This 253-nucleotide ribosomal RNA is filed under the name uncultured bacterium. Its description in RNAcentral is "partial 16S ribosomal RNA". It matches the Rfam family "Bacterial small subunit ribosomal RNA", at positions 524 to 776 of the family's 1533-position model. The record is from RNAcentral.
UACGUAGGGGGCAAGCGUUGUCCGGAUUUAUUGGGCGUAAAGAGCGUGUAGGCGGUUAGGUAGGUCCGUUGUGAAAACUCGAGGCUCAACCUCGAGACGCCGAUGGAAACCAUCUAACUAGAGUCCGGAAGAGGAGAGUGGAAUUCCUGGUGUAGCGGUGAAAUGCGCAGAUAUCAGGAAGAACACCCGUGGCUAAGGCGGCUCUCUAGUACGGUACUGACGCUGAGACUCGAAAGCGUGGGGAGCGAACAGG